AGUGAACGCUGGCGGUAGGCCUAACACAUGCAAGUCGAGCGGCCAUCCAGGAAUGUCAGCCGCAGACGGGUGAGGAACAGCGGGGAAGGUACGCUUAGAUCGGGAACUACUUUUGCAUACGGGAUCUCAUAGCGGAACCGCCCCUAAGAGCACAGGUUAACUGCCGAAGAAUCGGCCCGCGCCUGAUUAGCUAGUUGGUGGGGUAAGGGCCUACCAAAUCGGCGAGCAGUAGCGGGAAUGAGAGGAUGAUCAGCCACACUGGGACUGAGACACGGCCCAGACUCCUACGGGAGGCAGCAGUGGGGAAUAUUGGACAAUGGGCGCAAGCCUGAUCCAGCCAUGCCGCGUGAGUGAUGAAGGCCUUAGGGUUGAAAAGCUCUUUUGUCCGGGACGAUAAUGACGGUACCGGAAGAAUAAGCCCCGGCUAACUUCGUG
Molecule: ribosomal RNA, 435 nt
Filed under: uncultured bacterium
Lineage: Bacteria
Description: partial 16S ribosomal RNA
Rfam family: Bacterial small subunit ribosomal RNA
Source: RNAcentral